AGAGAGACAGUAAGAACAGUAGAGAGACAGUAGAGAGAGAGAGUAAGAACAGAGACAGUAAGAACAGUAGAGAGACAGUAAGAACAAGAGACAGUAAGAGCAGUAGAGAGACAGUAGAACAGAGAGACAGUAAGAACAGAGAGACAGUAAGAACAGUAGAGAGACAGUAAGAACAGAAGACAAGACAGUAAGAACAGUAGAGAGACAGUAGAGAGAGACAGUAAGAACAGUAGAGAGACAGUAAGAACAGUAGAGAGACAGUAAGAACAGUAGAGAGACAGUAAGAACAGAGAGACAGUAAGAACAGAGAGACAGUAAGAACAGAGAGACAGUAAGAACAGUAGAGAGACAGUAAGAACAGUAGAGAGACAAGAGAGACAGUAGAGAGAGACAGUAGAGAGACAGUAAGAACAGUAGAGAGACAGUAGAGAGAGACAAGACAGUAAGAACAGUAGAGAGACAGUAAGAACAGAGAGACAGUAAGAACAGUAGAGAGACAGUAGAGAGACAGUAAGAACAGUAGAGACAGUAAGAACAGUAGAGAGACAGUAAGAACAGUAGAGAGACAGUAAGAACAGUAGAGAGACAGUAAGAACAGUAGAGAGACAGUAAGAACAGAGACAGUAAGAACAGUAGAGAGACAGUAAGAACAGUAGAGAGACAGUAAGAGACA
Long non-coding RNA from Oncorhynchus tshawytscha (Chinook salmon), 673 nucleotides. Lineage: Eukaryota; Metazoa; Chordata; Actinopteri; Salmoniformes; Salmonidae. The record is from Ensembl.